This is a long non-coding RNA of Magallana angulata, 264 nucleotides long. RefSeq lists it as uncharacterized. The record is from RefSeq and is a predicted model, not a curated record. The transcript has 3 exons. NCBI's taxonomy places the organism in Eukaryota, Metazoa, Mollusca, Bivalvia, Ostreida, Ostreidae.
ACAGCAAAGCACGUAAUCUCACUUGCGUAGCCGAGGGAAAGGGAUCAAGAAGAACAAAUAAUAUCAGGACUUGCUUUGUUCGAAUAAGCAAAUCACGUAAUCUCACUCGCGUAGCCGAGGAAGAGGAACCAAGAAGCACAAAUAAUAUCAGGACUUGCUUUGUUCGAAUAAGAAUUGGCGAAAGAAUAAACUCGCUUAAAACUUAAUGAAUUACAUCCAAAUUUUGGAGAGAGAGAGAGAGAGAGAGAGAGAGAGAGAGAGAGA